This 885-nucleotide ribosomal RNA is filed under the name Glutinoglossum heptaseptatum. RNAcentral's name for it is "LSU rRNA". It matches the Rfam family "Eukaryotic large subunit ribosomal RNA", at positions 74 to 972 of the family's 3401-position model. Lineage: Eukaryota; Fungi; Ascomycota; Geoglossomycetes; Geoglossales; Geoglossaceae. The record is from RNAcentral.
AUUGCCUCCGUAACGGCGAGUGAAGCGGCAACAGCUCAAAUUUGAAAUCUGGCUUCUUUCAGGGCCCGAGUUGUAAUUUGUAGAGGAUGCCUUCGGGUGUGGCCCCGGCCUAAGUUCCUUGGAACAGGACGUCACAGAGGGUGAGAAUCCCGUAUGUGGCUGGAGGUCUAUACCCAUGUGAAGCUCCUUCGACGAGUCGAGUUGUUUGGGAAUGCAGCUCAAAAUGGGUGGUAAGUUUCAUCUAAAGCUAAAUACUGGCGGGAGACCGAUAGCGCACAAGUAGAGUGAUCGAAAGAUGAAAAGCACUUUGGAAAGAGAGUUAAAAAGUACGUGAAAUUGUUGAAAGGGAAGCGCUUGCGACCAGACUUGCCCUCGGUUGAUCAACCGGUGUUCUUCACCGGUGCACUCGGCUGAGGUCAGGCCAGCAUCAGUUCAGGCGGUUGGAGAAAGACCUUGGGAAUGUGGCUCCCUCCGGGGAGUGUUAUAGCCCAUGGUGUCAUGCGACCAGCCUGGACUGAGGACCGCGCUUCGUGCUAGGAUGCUGGCGUAAUGGUCGUAAGCGACCCGUCUUGAAACACGGACCAAGGAGUCUAACAUCUAUGCGAGUGUUUGGGUGUAAAACCCAUGCGCGUAAUGAAAGUGAACGGAGGUGGGAACCCUUGAGGGUGCACCAUCGACCGAUCCUGAUGUCUUCGGAUGGAUUUGAGUAAGAGCAUAGCUGUUGGGACCCGAAAGAUGGUGAACUAUGCCUGAAUAGGGUGAAGCCAGAGGAAACUCUGGUGGAGGCUCGCAGCGGUUCUGACGUGCAAAUCGAUCGUCAAAUUUGGGUAUAGGGGCGAAAGACUAAUCGAACCAUCUAGUAGCUGGUUCCUGCCGAAUUUUCCC